This 468-nucleotide ribosomal RNA is filed under the name uncultured bacterium. RNAcentral describes it as "partial 16S ribosomal RNA". It matches the Rfam family "Bacterial small subunit ribosomal RNA", at positions 28 to 507 of the family's 1533-position model. The record is from RNAcentral.
GACGAACGCUGGCGGCGUGCUUAACACAUGCAAGUCGAACGGAAAGGCCCUGCUUUUGUGGGGUGCUCGAGUGGCGAACGGGUGAGUAACACGUGAGUAACCUGCCCUUGACUUUGGGAUAACUUCAGGAAACUGGGGCUAAUACCGGAUAGGAGCUCCUGCUGCAUGGUGGGGGUUGGAAAGUUUCGGCGGUUGGGGAUGGACUCGCGGCUUAUCAGCUGGUUGGUGGGGUAGUGGCUUACCAAGGCUUUGACGGGUAGCCGGCCUGAGAGGGUGACCGGCCACAUUGGGACUGCGAUACGGCGCAGACGCCUACGGGAGGCAGCAGUGGGGAAUAUUGCACAAUGGGCGGAAGCCUGAUGCAGCAACGCCGCGUGCGGGAUGACGGCCUUCGGGUUGUAAACCGCUUUCGCCUGUGACGAAGCGUGAGUGACGGUAAUGGGUAAAGAAGCACCGGCUAACUACGUG